UUCCACCAGUGAAGACACCACAACAAGCCAAGUCAUUUUAAAUUAUACAACACUAUUUAGUUCUGUACACCCAAAAGACUAGAAUAUUUGUGUGUGUGUGUGUGUGUG
This is a long non-coding RNA of Etheostoma spectabile (orangethroat darter), 108 nucleotides long. RefSeq lists it as uncharacterized. The record is from RefSeq and is a predicted model, not a curated record. The transcript is spliced from 3 exons. NCBI's taxonomy places the organism in Eukaryota, Metazoa, Chordata, Actinopteri, Perciformes, Percidae.